RNAcentral lists this ribosomal RNA (253 nucleotides) under uncultured bacterium. RNAcentral describes it as "partial 16S ribosomal RNA". It matches the Rfam family "Bacterial small subunit ribosomal RNA", at positions 524 to 776 of the family's 1533-position model. The record is from RNAcentral.
UACGUAGGGUGCGAGCGUUAAUCGGAAUUACUGGGCGUAAAGCGUGCGCAGGCGGUUUGGUAAGACAGAUGUGAAAUCCCCGGGCUUAACCUGGGAAUGGCAUUUGUGACUGCCCGGCUAGAGUGUGUCAGAGGGGGGUAGAAUUCCACGUGUAGCAGUGAAAUGCGUAGAGAUGUGGAGGAAUACCGAUGGCGAAGGCAGCCCCCUGGGAUAACACUGACGCUCAUGCACGAAAGCGUGGGGAGCAAACAGG